RNAcentral lists this transfer RNA (36 nucleotides) under Dumasia villosa. RNAcentral describes it as "partial tRNA-His". RNAcentral also lists the same sequence under 1 other name. The record is from RNAcentral. Lineage: Eukaryota; Viridiplantae; Streptophyta; Magnoliopsida; Fabales; Fabaceae.
GGAUCAAGGCAGUGGAUUGUGAAUCCACCAUGCGCG